RNAcentral lists this ribosomal RNA (2902 nucleotides) under Escherichia coli HVH 212 (3-9305343). RNAcentral describes it as "bacterial LSU rRNA". It matches the Rfam family "Bacterial large subunit ribosomal RNA". Lineage: Bacteria; Pseudomonadati; Pseudomonadota; Gammaproteobacteria; Enterobacterales; Enterobacteriaceae. The record is from RNAcentral.
UUAAGCGACUAAGCGUACACGGUGGAUGCCCUGGCAGUCAGAGGCGAUGAAGGACGUGCUAAUCUGCGAUAAGCGUCGGUGAGGUGAUAUGAACCGUUAUAACCGGCGAUUUCCGAAUGGGGAAACCCAGUGUGUUUCGACACACUAUCAUUAACUGAAUCCAUAGGUUAAUGAGGCGAACCGGGGGAACUGAAACAUCUAAGUACCCCGAGGAAAAGAAAUCAACCGAGAUUCCCCCAGUAGCGGCGAGCGAACGGGGAGGAGCCCAGAGCCUGAAUCAGUGUGUGUGUUAGUGGAAGCGUCUGGAAAGGCGUGCGAUACAGGGUGACAGCCUCGUACACAAAAAUGCACAUAUUGUGAGCUCGAUGAGUAGGGCGGGACACGUGGUAUCCUGUCUGAAUAUGGGGGGACCAUCCUCCAAGGCUAAAUACUCCUGACUGACCGAUAGUGAACCAGUACCGUGAGGGAAAGGCGAAAAGAACCCCGGCGAGGGGAGUGAAAAAGAACCUGAAACCGUGUACGUACAAGCAGUGGGAGCCUCUUAAUGGGGUGACUGCGUACCUUUUGUAUAAUGGGUCAGCGACUUAUAUUCUGUAGCAAGGUUAACCGAAUAGGGGAGCCGAAGGGAAACCGAGUCUUAACUGGGCGUUAAGUUGCAGGGUAUAGACCCGAAACCCGGUGAUCUAGCCAUGGGCAGGUUGAAGGUUGGGUAACACUAACUGGAGGACCGAACCGACUAAUGUUGAAAAAUUAGCGGAUGACUUGUGGCUGGGGGUGAAAGGCCAAUCAAACCGGGAGAUAGCUGGUUCUCCCCGAAAGCUAUUUAGGUAGCGCCUCGUGAAUUCAUCUCCGGGGGUAGAGCACUGUUUCGGCAAGGGGGUCAUCCCGACUUACCAACCCGAUGCAAACUGCGAAUACCGGAGAAUGUUAUCACGGGAGACACACGGCGGGUGCUAACGUCCGUCGUGAAGAGGGAAACAACCCAGACCGCCAGCUAAGGUCCCAAAGUCAUGGUUAAGUGGGAAACGAUGUGGGAAGGCCCAGACAGCCAGGAUGUUGGCUUAGAAGCAGCCAUCAUUUAAAGAAAGCGUAAUAGCUCACUGGUCGAGUCGGCCUGCGCGGAAGAUGUAACGGGGCUAAACCAUGCACCGAAGCUGCGGCAGCGACACUAUGUGUUGUUGGGUAGGGGAGCGUUCUGUAAGCCUGUGAAGGUGGCCUGUGAGGGUUGCUGGAGGUAUCAGAAGUGCGAAUGCUGACAUAAGUAACGAUAAAGCGGGUGAAAAGCCCGCUCGCCGGAAGACCAAGGGUUCCUGUCCAACGUUAAUCGGGGCAGGGUGAGUCGACCCCUAAGGCGAGGCCGAAAGGCGUAGUCGAUGGGAAACAGGUUAAUAUUCCUGUACUUGGUGUUACUGCGAAGGGGGGACGGAGAAGGCUAUGUUGGCCGGGCGACGGUUGUCCCGGUUUAAGCGUGUAGGCUGGUUUUCCAGGCAAAUCCGGAAAACCAAGGCUGAGGCGUGAUGACGAGGCACUACGGUGCUGAAGCGACAAAUGCCCUGCUUCCAGGAAAAGCCUCUAAGCAUCAGGUAACAUCAAAUCGUACCCCAAACCGACACAGGUGGUCAGGUAGAGAAUACCAAGGCGCUUGAGAGAACUCGGGUGAAGGAACUAGGCAAAAUGGUGCCGUAACUUCGGGAGAAGGCACGCUGAUAUGUAGGUGAAGCGACUUGCUCGUGGAGCUGAAAUCAGUCGAAGAUACCAGCUGGCUGCAACUGUUUAUUAAAAACACAGCACUGUGCAAACACGAAAGUGGACGUAUACGGUGUGACGCCUGCCCGGUGCCGGAAGGUUAAUUGAUGGGGUUAGCGGUAACGCGAAGCUCUUGAUCGAAGCCCCGGUAAACGGCGGCCGUAACUAUAACGGUCCUAAGGUAGCGAAAUUCCUUGUCGGGUAAGUUCCGACCUGCACGAAUGGCGUAAUGAUGGCCAGGCUGUCUCCACCCGAGACUCAGUGAAAUUGAACUCGCUGUGAAGAUGCAGUGUACCCGCGGCAAGACGGAAAGACCCCGUGAACCUUUACUAUAGCUUGACACUGAACAUUGAGCCUUGAUGUGUAGGAUAGGUGGGAGGCUUUGAAGUGUGGACGCCAGUCUGCAUGGAGCCGACCUUGAAAUACCACCCUUUAAUGUUUGAUGUUCUAACGUUGGCCCGUAAUCCGGGUUGCGGACAGUGUCUGGUGGGUAGUUUGACUGGGGCGGUCUCCUCCUAAAGAGUAACGGAGGAGCACGAAGGUUGGCUAAUCCUGGUCGGACAUCAGGAGGUUAGUGCAAUGGCAUAAGCCAGCUUGACUGCGAGCGUGACGGCGCGAGCAGGUGCGAAAGCAGGUCAUAGUGAUCCGGUGGUUCUGAAUGGAAGGGCCAUCGCUCAACGGAUAAAAGGUACUCCGGGGAUAACAGGCUGAUACCGCCCAAGAGUUCAUAUCGACGGCGGUGUUUGGCACCUCGAUGUCGGCUCAUCACAUCCUGGGGCUGAAGUAGGUCCCAAGGGUAUGGCUGUUCGCCAUUUAAAGUGGUACGCGAGCUGGGUUUAGAACGUCGUGAGACAGUUCGGUCCCUAUCUGCCGUGGGCGCUGGAGAACUGAGGGGGGCUGCUCCUAGUACGAGAGGACCGGAGUGGACGCAUCACUGGUGUUCGGGUUGUCAUGCCAAUGGCACUGCCCGGUAGCUAAAUGCGGAAGAGAUAAGUGCUGAAAGCAUCUAAGCACGAAACUUGCCCCGAGAUGAGUUCUCCCUGACUCCUUGAGAGUCCUGAAGGAACGUUGAAGACGACGACGUUGAUAGGCCGGGUGUGUAAGCGCAGCGAUGCGUUGAGCUAACCGGUACUAAUGAACCGUGAGGCUUAACCUU